Molecule: ribosomal RNA, 615 nt
Filed under: Enterobacter hormaechei
Lineage: Bacteria; Pseudomonadati; Pseudomonadota; Gammaproteobacteria; Enterobacterales; Enterobacteriaceae
Description: partial 23S ribosomal RNA
Rfam family: Bacterial large subunit ribosomal RNA
Source: RNAcentral
CCCCCAGUAGCGGCGAGCGAACGGGGAGCAGCCCGGAGUCUGAAUCAGCUUGUGUGUUAGUGGAACGGUCUGGAAAGUCCGACGGUACAGGGUGAUAGUCCCGUACACGAAAACACACUUGCUGUGAACUCGAAGAGUAGGGCGGGACACGUGGUAUCCUGUCUGAAUAUGGGGGGACCAUCCUCCAAGGCUAAAUACUCCUGACUGACCGAUAGUGAACCAGUACCGUGAGGGAAAGGCGAAAAGAACCCCGGCGAGGGGAGUGAAAAAGAACCUGAAACCGUGUACGUACAAGCAGUGGGAGCCUCUUUAUGGGGUGACUGCGUACCUUUUGUAUAAUGGGUCAGCGACUUAUAUUCUGUAGCAAGGUUAACCGUAUAGGGGAGCCGAAGGGAAACCGAGUCUUAACUGGGCGUUAAGUUGCAGGGUAUAGACCCGAAACCCGGUGAUCUAGCCAUGGGCAGGUUGAAGGUUGGGUAACACUAACUGGAGGACCGAACCGACUAAUGUUGAAAAAUUAGCGGAUGACCUGUGGCUGGGGGUGAAAGGCCAAUCAAACCGGGAGAUAGCUGGUUCUCCCCGAAAGCUAUUUAGGUAGCGCCUCGUGAACUCAUC